RNAcentral lists this ribosomal RNA (1391 nucleotides) under Microbacterium sp. C-6. Its description in RNAcentral is "bacterial SSU rRNA". It matches the Rfam family "Bacterial small subunit ribosomal RNA". Lineage: Bacteria; Bacillati; Actinomycetota; Actinomycetes; Micrococcales; Microbacteriaceae. The record is from RNAcentral.
UGCAAGUCGAACGGUGAAGCCCAGCUUGCUGGGUGGAUCAGUGGCGAACGGGUGAGUAACACGUGAGCAAUCUGCCCCUGACUCUGGGAUAAGCGCUGGAAACGGCGUCUAAUACUGGAUAUGAACCGUGGAGGCAUCUUCAACGGUUGGAAAGAUUUUUUGGUCAGGGAUGAGCUCGCGGCCUAUCAGCUUGUUGGUGAGGUAAUGGCUCACCAAGGCGUCGACGGGUAGCCGGCCUGAGAGGGUGACCGGCCACACUGGGACUGAGACACGGCCCAGACUCCUACGGGAGGCAGCAGUGGGGAAUAUUGCACAAUGGGCGCAAGCCUGAUGCAGCAACGCCGCGUGAGGGAUGACGGCCUUCGGGUUGUAAACCUCUUUUAGCAGGGAAGAAGCGAAAGUGACGGUACCUGCAGAAAAAGCGCCGGCUAACUACGUGCCAGCAGCCGCGGUAAUACGUAGGGCGCAAGCGUUAUCCGGAAUUAUUGGGCGUAAAGAGCUCGUAGGCGGUUUGUCGCGUCUGCUGUGAAAUCCCGAGGCUCAACCUCGGGUCUGCAGUGGGUACGGGCAGACUAGAGUGCGGUAGGGGAGAUUGGAAUUCCUGGUGUAGCGGUGGAAUGCGCAGAUAUCAGGAGGAACACCGAUGGCGAAGGCAGAUCUCUGGGCCGUAACUGACGCUGAGGAGCGAAAGGGUGGGGAGCAAACAGGCUUAGAUACCCUGGUAGUCCACCCCGUAAACGUUGGGAACUAGUUGUGGGGUCCAUUCCACGGAUUCCGUGACGCAGCUAACGCAUUAAGUUCCCCGCCUGGGGAGUACGGCCGCAAGGCUAAAACUCAAAGGAAUUGACGGGGACCCGCACAAGCGGCGGAGCAUGCGGAUUAAUUCGAUGCAACGCGAAGAACCUUACCAAGGCUUGACAUAUACGAGAACGCUGCAGAAAUGUAGAACUCUUUGGACACUCGUAAACAGGUGGUGCAUGGUUGUCGUCAGCUCGUGUCGUGAGAUGUUGGGUUAAGUCCCGCAACGAGCGCAACCCUCGUUCUAUGUUGCCAGCACGUAAUGGUGGGAACUCAUGGGAUACUGCCGGGGUCAACUCGGAGGAAGGUGGGGAUGACGUCAAAUCAUCAUGCCCCUUAUGUCUUGGGCUUCACGCAUGCUACAAUGGCCGGUACAAAGGGCUGCAAUACCGUAAGGUGGAGCGAAUCCCAAAAAGCCGGUCCCAGUUCGGAUUGAGGUCUGCAACUCGACCUCAUGAAGUCGGAGUCGCUAGUAAUCGCAGAUCAGCAACGCUGCGGUGAAUACGUUCCCGGGUCUUGUACACACCGCCCGUCAAGUCAUGAAAGUCGGUAACACCUGAAGCCGGUGGCCCAACCCUUGUGGAGGGAGCCGU